This is a non-coding RNA of Pogona vitticeps (central bearded dragon), 426 nucleotides long. Lineage: Eukaryota; Metazoa; Chordata; Lepidosauria; Squamata; Agamidae. The record is from RefSeq and is a predicted model, not a curated record.
GUUUCGAAAAGGUUCCUGCCAGGGAACUAGGAACAAACUUGUGUCUACUCAUGGGGGUCGGUACUAAAAAAUCUACCUCCUUGCGUCUCAUUUCUCCCCAGUGUCCAUUAAACAUAGAGGAGUACAACAAAAAUGAUAAGGAACAUGUAAUGCCGGUAAAACAAACAUCCCGUCGAACAAAAAUUCCCCAAGACUGAAGGAGGAGGAGUGGGAGAGAGAGGCAGCAGAAUGCAGGCAGCAGAAGCAGGCUUUAAAUCAUCACCUCUGUGCUGUGGAUGGGAAAGAAUGGCCGUACCUCUGUCUCAGCACAUGUCUUUUGAGGAGGUGGCCGUGUAUUUCACCCGACAGGAGUGGGAUCUCCUAGAUCCAGGCCAAAGAUCCCUGUAUAAAGAAGUCAUGCAGGAGAUCUACAGGAUGGUUGCCUCC